CCUUUUGAUAUUAAUUUUAGGUCUAAUCUGCCCACUGAGUAAUUAAAUGGCCGCGGUAAUUUGACCGUGCGAAGGUAGCAUAAUCAUUAGUUUUUUAAUUAAAACCUGGAAUGAAAGAUUGAAUGAGAAAAUAACUGUCUCAAGUUAAUUUAGUUAGAAUUUUAUUUUUAAGUUAAAAAGCUUAAAUGAUAUUAAAAGACGAGAAGACCCUAUAGAGUUUUAUAGUUAAUUUGAUUUUAAAUAAAUUGUUUAUAUAAAUUUAAUUUGAAUUAAUUAUUUUGUUGGGGUGACAAAAAAAUUUAAUUAACUUUUUUUUUAUUUAAAUACUAAUAUGUAAAUUAUUGAUCCAAAUUUUUUGAUUAAAAGAUUAAAUUACCUUAGGGAUAACAGCGUAAUUUUUUUUGAGAGUUCUUAUCGAAAAAAAAGAUUGCGACCUCGAUGUUGGAUUAAAAUUAAGUUUUGGUGUAGAAGCUAAAAUUUUAGGUCUGUUCGACCUUUAAAACUUU
RNAcentral lists this ribosomal RNA (506 nucleotides) under Cymatodera oblita. RNAcentral's name for it is "partial 16S ribosomal RNA". The stretch from base 383 to 506 matches the Rfam family "Bacterial large subunit ribosomal RNA", at positions 2473 to 2597 of the family's 2925-position model. The record is from RNAcentral. Lineage: Eukaryota; Metazoa; Arthropoda; Insecta; Coleoptera; Cleridae.